This 854-nucleotide non-coding RNA is filed under the name Micropercops swinhonis. RNAcentral's name for it is "partial 12S ribosomal RNA". It matches the Rfam family "Bacterial small subunit ribosomal RNA". Lineage: Eukaryota; Metazoa; Chordata; Actinopteri; Gobiiformes; Odontobutidae. The record is from RNAcentral.
AAGCUUGGUCCUGACUUUACUAUCAAUUAAGGCUAAACUUACACAUGCAAGUAUCCGCAUCCCCGUGAGAAUGCCCUUAAACUCCCUUGAAGGAGUUAAGGAGCUGGUAUCAGGCGCAACCUUGAAGUUUGCCCACAACACCUUGCUUGGCCACACCCUCAAGGGAACUCAGCAGUGAUAAACAUUAAGCUAUAAGUGAAAACUUGACUUAGUUAAAGCCAAAAUAGAGCCGGUAAAACUCGUGCCAGCCACCGCGGUUAUACGAGAGGCUCGAGUUGAUAGACACCGGCGUAAAAUGUGGUUAGGAAAUAAAUAAACUAAAGCCGAACAUCUUCAAGGCUGUCAUACGCACCCGAAGAUAUGAAGUACUACUACGAAAGUAGCUUUAAAUAUCCGAACCCACGAAAGCUAGGCCACAAACUGGGAUUAGAUACCCCACUAUGUCUAGCCCUAAACAAAGGUAGCAACCUUACAUCUGCUACUCGCCAGGGAACUACGAGCAUAAGCUUAAAACCCAAAGGACUUGGCGGUGCUUUAGAUCCACCUAGAGGAGCCUGUCCUAGAACCGAUAAUCCCCGUUCAACCUCACCCUUUCUUGUUAUUACCGCUUAUAUACCGCCGUCGUCAGCUUACCCUGUGAAGGGUUAAUAGUAAGCACAACUGGCACAACCCAACACGUCAGGUCGAGGUGUAGCGUAUGAAAGGGGAAGAGAUGGGCUACAUUCACUGUUACAGUGUACACGGAUAACAAGUUGAAACACCCGUUUAAAGGAGGAUUUAGCAGUAAGGAGAAAAGCAGAGCGUUCCCCUGAAACCGGCCCUGAAGCGCGCACACACCGCCCGUCACUCUCCCC